AUAUUUUCAGGCAGCUAUUGAGCUUUUCUAGAGGAAGAGCUGAUGAAAAGAGUCACAGCUGAAUAGUGGAGAGAAAAAGCCCGGUAUUUAUUGCUUUUGUUUGGCUUUUGGCUACAGAGACAGGAACCUUCUAAUGGGAAUUGACAGUGCAGUGAAGCUCUGGUCCAGUGGAGUAGAACACCUGCAGACCCACAGGUGAAGAGAGAGGGACCAAGGGAUGAAGGCCCUGGAAGAGUAAAAACAGAGUAAAGUUUUACAGAGUAAAACAGUACAAGAAAGAAUCACAUACUGUAAUUGAUCCACCAUGGAACUCAGCAGAGGAAAUCAUCACAAGAUCCAUCACAUUGUGAGCAAAGACAUGAGAGACAUAUGAAAGAUUCUGGGUAUAAAAGCACCCAGGAGAAGGCUGGCACUCAACUCGUCACUUCCUCUUUCCCUUUCCUGCAUCCUUUUCCUGUCAGGCUGGAUAA
Heterocephalus glaber (naked mole-rat) is the source of this 470-nucleotide long non-coding RNA. Lineage: Eukaryota; Metazoa; Chordata; Mammalia; Rodentia; Bathyergidae. The record is from Ensembl.